UUUUUUUUUUUUUAAAUUUCAUAUGUCAUCAUAACACUCAAUAGUUGCUCUAGGUUAUCUAAAGCGUCAUUGAACAAAGUUGUCAUAUUCUAAUACCUUUACCUUUCUUUUGGAUGGAGGGAUUUUAUUCAUGAAUCUAAUUUAGGUUCAUAAAUGUGGAGGAAAAACUUAGAGUGUGGAUAUCAAAUACUUACAAUAUGUAAUAUUAAAAUUCAAGCCACUUCAAAUUAGUUGUUAACCACAUUAAUGAAUCUAAUUUUUGUUUGUGAAUCUAGUUAAUUUAUGCAUGGAUGAACUUUCAUUCAAGUAAUUUAAACUAAAAUCAUUACCAAAUCCAUCAUUUGAAGUUAUUCCAUCCAAACAUCAACAUUAGUGUUCUUACUCUGUGCCUUUAGCUGGCAAAUGGCAGCUAAUGACUAUCCCAAAUGGCAGAUAGUUAAUAGUGUACUCUUAGUGACUUGGUCUUUUCUGUU
RNAcentral lists this unclassified non-coding RNA (473 nucleotides) under Hevea brasiliensis (rubber tree). Lineage: Eukaryota; Viridiplantae; Streptophyta; Magnoliopsida; Malpighiales; Euphorbiaceae. The record is from RNAcentral.